GGACUGUGAGGCUUAGCAAAGCUCCAGUUCUGUGCUGUGAGAGACAUUAAAUUAUUUCUGUAUUCAGAGUAGCCAGUCUAGCUUCUGUGUCUAAAUUUAGUGUUUAUCCAAAGGUUCAUCUUUAUACCUCUUAUUUCUUAGGAAUUUAAUGAGUCUAUGUUGUCUGUUUUCCUAUGCCUUUCAGCUCAAGCAAUGUGUUAGUGUCACUUUUUUCCCUUAGAUCUUAAUAGGAUCAAAAAAUUAUAAUUCUUUGAAGAAAGAAAGGGAUUAAGUAAUUUUUUUCCCUUAUACUUUCUUAAAGGUCAGGGGCUUUAUCUAUGAAAAAGUAGUAUGUAGUUAUUUGUAACUUGUACAAAGCAGCAGCCAGCCUUAAAACAGUCCAUUCUGGCUAAAUGUUAGAACAUUGAAUUCUAAUGUACUUUUUGGGGGCUGCUGUUAGUUUAUUUUAAUCAAAAUGACUAGAUGAUAGGACUUAAGAACUUACUACAUGUUACUUGGUGUACUGAUAAUCAUUUAAGAGUAAAA
Molecule: long non-coding RNA, 525 nt
Organism: Dipodomys spectabilis (banner-tailed kangaroo rat)
Lineage: Eukaryota; Metazoa; Chordata; Mammalia; Rodentia; Heteromyidae
Exons: 2
Source: RefSeq, a predicted model, not a curated record